UGUAUAUUUACUCUGCCUCAAAUUACUAGUCGUAGGUAUGCCUAAGAUAUAGAUGUAUUUAGACAUGUUUUAGUAUUAAAUACAUCCAUAUCUAGAAAAAGUUAAGACAAAUAAUUUGAGACAGAGGUACUACCUU
This is a non-coding RNA of Triticum aestivum (bread wheat), 136 nucleotides long. Lineage: Eukaryota; Viridiplantae; Streptophyta; Magnoliopsida; Poales; Poaceae. The record is from Rfam.